RNAcentral lists this unclassified non-coding RNA (253 nucleotides) under plant metagenome. Its description in RNAcentral is "partial contains small subunit ribosomal RNA, internal transcribed spacer 1, and 5.8S ribosomal RNA". The stretch from base 1 to 54 matches the Rfam family "Eukaryotic small subunit ribosomal RNA", at positions 1778 to 1831 of the family's 1831-position model. The record is from RNAcentral.
GGAAGUAGAAGUCGUAACAAGGUCUCCGUUGGUGAACCAGCGGAGGGAUCAUUACAGAGUUGCAAAACUCCCAAACCAUUGUGAACGUUACCCAUCCCGUUGCUUCGGCGGGCGGCCCGGGCCCCGUGCCCGGCGCCCCCCGGCCCCUCGCGGGCGCCCGCCGGAGGUAAACCAAACUAUUGAAUUGUAUGGCCUCUCUGGGUCUUCUGUACUGAAUAAGUCAAAACUUUCAACAACGGAUCUCUUGGUUCUG